GAGUUUUUAGUAUAAAAAAUUAUAAAUAAUUGCAAAUUAUUAGAUAGUAAGCUUU
RNAcentral lists this transfer RNA (55 nucleotides) under Gongylonema pulchrum. RNAcentral describes it as "tRNA-Cys". The record is from RNAcentral. Lineage: Eukaryota; Metazoa; Nematoda; Chromadorea; Rhabditida; Gongylonematidae.